This 523-nucleotide ribosomal RNA is filed under the name uncultured bacterium. Its description in RNAcentral is "partial 16S ribosomal RNA". It matches the Rfam family "Bacterial small subunit ribosomal RNA", at positions 28 to 523 of the family's 1533-position model. The record is from RNAcentral.
GACGAACGCUGGCGGCGUGCCUAAUACAUGCAAGUCGAACGCUUUUUCUUUCACCGGAGCUUGCUCCGCCGAAAGAAAAAGAGUGGCGAACGGGUGAGUAACACGUGGGUAAACUGCCCAUCAGAAGGGGAUAACACUUGGAAGCAGGUGCUAAUACCGUAUAACACUAUUUUCCGCAUGGAAGAAAGUUGAAAGGCGCUUUUGCGUCACUGAUGGAUGGACCCGCGGUGCAUUAGCUAGUUGGUGAGGUAACGGCUCACCAAGGCAACGAUGCAUAGCCGACCUGAGAGGGUGAUCGGCCACACUGGGACUGAGACACGGCCCAGACUCCUACGGGAGGCAGCAGUAGGGAAUCUUCGGCAAUGGACGAAAGUCUGACCGAGCAACGCCGCGUGAGUGAAGAAGGUUUUCGGAUCGUAAAACUCUGUUGUUAGAGAAGAACAAGGAUGAGAGUAAAAUGUUCAUCCCUUGACGGUAUCUAACCAGAAAGCCACGGCUAACUACGUGCCAGCAGCCGCCGUAA